AUUGGUUUGGACGCUUUGGGCUUCUCCUUUUAGUCCUGAGAUGUAGCCUUCCUUUCAGUGUCUAGCUGGUCGGGCAUAGUGCACUUAGUGGCAUAUUCCAUCGCCACACACCGUCUACUCUUAGUUUAUAGCACUUUCUUCCCCUCUUUAUUAGAAAUUGCAUUUAGAAUUUUUAGUGAUAAGUUUAGAAUCUUUCAUGUUAAGGAUAGCUCUUUCUUUUCCUCCUUUGAAAAAACAAAAAAGACCAAAAAAAUAUUUACACUGUAGAAACUGUAAUGUUAAGGUUAGGACUCUGUAAGUUAAGGAUUUCUGAAUCUUUCUGCACAACUCUUUCUUUUCCUUCUUUCAAAAAAAAAAAAAAAGACCAAAAAAAACUCUACCUUGUAGAAACAGUAGUGGUAAGGUUAGGACUCUGUAAGUUAAAGAUUUCUGAAUCUUUCUGCACAGCUCUUUCUUUUCCUCCUUUCAAAAAAACAAAAAACAAAAAAAGACCAAAAAUAAACUUUACCUUGUAGAAACAGUAGUGGUAAGGUUAGGACUCUGUAAGUUAAGGAUUUCUAAAUCUUUCUGUGCAGCUCUUUCUUUUCCUCCUUUUAAAACAAACAGCUUGAAAGUUUGAAAACAGAUGGAAAGAGCUUGAAGAGGGUCUUCAGAAAUGUUCCAUUCAAAUCCAUUUAAAGCUGUGUUUAGUUUGAUUAUAUUGACUGAAACACAGAAGGAGAAAUUCUUCCAUAAUCCUCAUUUCUAAUAUUAAUUUUACUGUUUCCAUCUCCGUUUAAGAUGUGAUGAGAAAUUAAAUUUAAAAAAAGGAAUUCAUAGACCACUUUGUAUCAUUACUGUUAUGUUUGCAUGGAACAUUUCAAAAGGGUCAGGGUUCUUCUGCUGCUCCACUGAACAUCUAACACAUGAUGGAUUGAUUGCUUGUUCCAUGUGUGUGGCUACACCUGUAGCACAUGUAGGAAUGGUUGUGUUUUUAGUUUCCGGACCCAGCACAGCUCUAGAAAAUUUGAAGUUGUUCACUAAAAUAUCUGUUUGAUGCAAACAGUCAUUUCCCCUGUUUAUGAGCCAUUUAUUUGUAAAACGUUCUUGCAAAACUUGUGCAAAAAAAAUCUGCAAAUGUUUGAGGUUCAGUGCAGCAGCAGAGACAGGGUAGGGUGGACCCUCUUCAAGCCCUUUACAUCUGUGGAGAUUGUAAAAGCAGGAUAGACUUUAGGAGGGUCUUCAGGAAAUGCUCCAUCCAAAUAAUUUUCAUUGUUAGUAUCGUAUUUCUUCAAAUGACAUUUACAAUAUCUGAUUGGUUUUUAACAUGUAAACAAUGAGUCAUAUUUUUAUGGAGCAUUUCCAAAGGGUCGAGGUUAGGGAGGGUCAGACCCUCCUAAAGUCUUUAUCCUCUUUUACAAAAGUUUCUGUUUGAUGACAUUAUUGUUUAUAAUAAGUGUUUUCUUUAGUUGAUUGUAAUUUUUGUCGCAAAAUCUUCAAAGAAAAAACGUAUAAAUACUUUAGACAAAAACAAACAAAAAACGACAAAUGUUUCAGAUGUUGCUCAGAAAUGAUAGUUUUAAAAUUAUUUUUUCUGUGCCUUUUUCACAAUUUCACUCAUGAACAUAUUUAGAUAACAGGAGUAUAAAGGCAGGAGAUGACUUUAGGAGGGUCUACAGGAAAUGCUCCAUCCAAAUUACUUUUUCAUUGUUAUUGUUGUAAUUCUUGAAAUUCCAUUUUCAACAACUAAUCUAUUUUUAAGACGUAAACAAUGAGAGUCAUAUUAGGAUGGAGCAUUUCCAAAGGGUUGAGGUUAGGGAGGGUCAGACCCUCCUAAAGUCUUUAUCCUCUGUUACAAGUGUUUCUGUUUGACAUUAUUGUUCAUAAUAAGUGUUUUCUUUAGUUAAUUGUAAUUUUUGGUGUAAAAUCUUCAAACAAAAAUUGUUUUAAUAUACUUCAGACAAAAACAAACAAAAAAUAAUGAGAAAUGUUUCAGAUGUUGCUCAGAAAUGAUAGUUUUGAAAUGAUUUUUUCUGUGUGUCUCUCACAGUUUAAGAAAAGAACAUAUUUAGAUAACAGGAGUAUAAAAGCAGGAGAUGACUUUAGGAGGGUCUUCAGGAAAUGCUCCAUCCAAAUUACUUUUUCAUUGUUAUUGUUGUAAUUCUUGAAAUUACAUUUUCAACAACUAAUCUAUUUUUAAGACGUAAACAAUGAGAGUCAUAUUAGGAUGGAGCAUUUCCAAAGGGUUGAGGUUAGGGAGGGUCAGACCCUCCUAAAGUCUUUAUCCUCUGUUACAAAUGUUUCUGUUUGAUGACAUUAUUGUUCAUAAUAAGUCUUUUCUUUAGUUGAUUGUAAUUUUUGGUGUAAAAUCUUCAAAGAAAAAACGUAUAAAUACUUCAGACAAAAAAAACGACAAAUGUUUCAGAUGUUGCUCAGAAAUGACUAACAAACAUAUUUAGAUAUGUAUGUAUGUAAAUAUGUUAGCUAACUAACAUAUUUAGAUAACAGGAGUAUAAAAGCAGGAGAUGACUUUAGGAGGGUCUUCAGGAAAUGCUCCAUCUGAAUCACUUUUUCAUUGUUAUUAUUGUAAUUCUUGAAAUUACAUUUUCAACAACUAAUCUAUUUUUAACAUGUGAACAAUGAGAGUCAUAUUAGGAUGGAGCAUUUCCAAAGGGUCGAGGUUAGGGAGGGUCAGACCCUCCUAAAGUCUUUAUCCUCUUUUACAAAAGUUUCUGUUUGAUGACAUUAUUGUUCAAAAUAAGUCUUUUCUUUAGUUGAUUGUAAAUUUUGGCGUAAAAUCUUUAUAGAAAAAUUGUAUAAACAUACUUCAGACAAAAACAAACAAAAAAAACAAUGACAUGUUUCAGAUGUUGCUCAGAAGUGAUAGUUUUAGAAUGAUUUUUUUCUGUGUCUCGCUCACAAUUUCACUAUCAUAUUUAGAUAACAGGAGUAUAAAAGCAGGAGAUGACUUUAGGAGGGUCUACAGGAAAUGCUCCAUCCAAAUAAUUUAUCAUUGUUAGUAUCGUAUUUCUUCAAAUGACAUUUACAAUAUCUGAUUGGUUUUUAACAUGUAAACAAUGAGUCAUAUUUUUAUGGAGCAUUUCCAAAGGGUCGAGGUUAGGGAGGGUCAGACCCUCCUAAAGUCUUUAUCCUCUUUUACAAAUGUUUCUGUUUGAUGACAUUAUUGUUCAUAAUAAGUCUUUUCUUUAGUUGAUUGUAAUUUUUGUCGCAAAAUCUUCAAAGAAAAAACGUAUAAAUACUUUAGACAAAUACAAACAAAAAACGACAAAUGUUUCAGAUGUUGCUCAGAAACGAUAGUUUUAAAAUGAUUUUUUUCUGUGCCUCUUUCACAAUUUAACUAACAUAUUUAGAUAACAGGAGUAUAAAAGCAGGAGAUGACUUUAGGAGGGUCUACAGGAAAUGCUCCAUCCGAAUCACUUUUUCAUUGUUAUUGUUGUAAUACUUGAAAUUACAUUUUCAACAACUAAUCUAUUUUUAACAUGUGAACAAUGAGAGUCAUAUUAGGAUGGAGCAUUUCCAAAGGGUCGAGGUUAGAGAGGGUCAGACCCUCCUAAAGUCUUUAUCCUCUUUUACAAAUGUUUCUGUUUGAUGACAUUAUUGUUCAUAAUAAGUCUUUUCUUUCGUUAAUUGUAAAUUUUGGCGUAAAAUCUUUAAAGAAAAAUUGUAUAAACAUACUUCAGACAAAAACAAACAAAAAAAACAAUGACAUGUUUCAGAUGUUGCUCAGAAAUGAUAGUUUUAGAAUGAUUUUUUUCUGUGUCUCUCUCACAAUUUCACUAUCAUAUUUAGAUAACAGGAGUAUAAAAGCAGAAGAUGACUUUAGGAGGGUCUUCAGGAAAUGCUUCAUCCAAAUUACUUUUUCAUUGUUAUUGUUGUAAUUAAUCUAUUUUUAACACGUAAACAAUGAGAGUCAUAUUUUUAUGGAGCAUUUCCAAAGGGUCGAGGUUAGGGAGGGUCAGACCCUCCUAUAGUCUUUAUCCUCUGAUACUCAUGUUAUCAUUACACAUCAUCACUAUUAAUGAUGACUUUUCCUUCUGUUGUUUUAAUAACUUCAAGGAAAAUUCAUCCAGAUCCUAGAAAAUAGAGCAAAGUUUAAAAUGUUCCUCAGUAAUUGUAACAAAUUUUUCUGUGACUAUUCAGCAAAGUAAUUAAAGUACAUAUCUGAGGAGAUUGUAAAAGCAGGAUAGACUUUAGGAGGGUCUUCAGGAAAUGCUCCAUCCAAAUUACUUUUUCAUUGUUGUUGUAAUUCUUGAAGUUACAUUUUAAAAAACUAAUCUAUUUUUAACACGUAAACAAUGAGAGUCAUAUUAGGAUGGAGCAUUUCCAAAGGGUCGAGGUUAGGGAGGGUCAGACCCUCCUAAAGUCUUUAUCCUCUGUUACAAAUGUUUCUGUUUGAUGACAUUAUUGUUCAUAAUAAGUCUUUUCUUUAGUUGAUUGUAAAUUUUGGCGUAAAAUCUUCAAAGAAAAAUUGUAUAAACAUACUUCAGACAAAAACAAACAAAAAAAACAAUGACAUGUUUCAGAUGUUGCUCAGAAAUAAUAGUUUUAGAAUGAUUUUUUUCUGUGUCUCGCUCACAAUUUCACUAUCAUAUUUAGAUAACAGGAGUAUAAAAGCAGGAGAUGACUUUAGGAGGGUCUUCAGGAAAUGCUCCAUCCAAAUAAUUUUUCAUUGUUAGUAUCGUAUUUCUUCAAAUGACAUUUACAAUAUCUGAUUGGUUUUUAACAUGUAAACAAUGAGUCAUAUUUUUAUGGAGCAUUUCCAAAGGGUCGAGGUUAGGGAGGGUCAGACCCUCCUAAAGUCUUUAUCCUCUUUUACAAAUGUUUCUGUUUGAUGACAUUAUUGUUCAUAAUAAGUCUUUUCUUUAGUUGAUUGUAAUUUUUGUCGCAAAAUCUUCAAAGAAAAAACGUAUAAAUACUUUAGACAAAAACAAACAAAAAACGACAAAUGUUUCAGAUGUUGCUCAGAAACGAUAGUUUUAAAAUGAUUUUUUUCUGUGCCUCUUUCACAAUUUAACUAACAUAUUUAGAUAACAGGAGUAUAAAAGCAGGAGAUGACUUUAGGAGGGUCUUCAGGAAAUGCUCCAUCCGAAUCACUUUUUCAUUGUUAUUAUUGUAAUACUUGAAAUUACAUUUUCAACAACUAAUCUAUUUUUAACAUGUGAACAAUGAGAGUCAUAUUAGGAUGGAGCAUUUCCAAAGGGUCGAGGUUAGAGAGGGUCAGACCCUCCUAAAGUCUUUAUCCUCUUUUACAAAUGUUUCUGUUUGAUGACAUUAUUGUUCAUGAUAAGUCUUUUCUUUCGUUAAUUGUAAAUUUUGGCGUAAAAUCUUUAAAGAAAAAUUGUAUAAACAUACUUCAGACAAAAACAACCAAAAAAAACAAUGACAUGUUUCAGAUGUUGCUCAGAAAUGAUAGUUUUAGAAUGAUUUUUUUCUGUGUCUCUCUCACAAUUUCACUAUCAUAUUUAGAUAACAGGAGUAUAAAAGCAGAAGAUGACUUUAGGAGGGUCUACAGGAAAUGCUCCAUCCAAAUUACUUUUUCAUUGUUAUUGUUGUAAUUCUUGAAAUUCCAUUUUCAACAACUAAUCUAUUUUUAACAUGUGAACAAUGAGAGUCAUAUUAGGAUGGAGCAUUUCCAAAGG
This is a long non-coding RNA of Acanthochromis polyacanthus (spiny chromis), 5639 nucleotides long. RefSeq lists it as uncharacterized. The record is from RefSeq and is a predicted model, not a curated record. NCBI's taxonomy places the organism in Eukaryota, Metazoa, Chordata, Actinopteri, Pomacentridae. The transcript is spliced from 3 exons.